This 1586-nucleotide long non-coding RNA is filed under the name Varroa destructor (honeybee mite). RNAcentral's name for it is "uncharacterized LOC111243215, transcript variant X2". Lineage: Eukaryota; Metazoa; Arthropoda; Arachnida; Mesostigmata; Varroidae. The record is from RNAcentral.
UUAUGAUGUCGAACGCCUUAGUCCUGCAAGUACGCCUUUGAUGUUUUUUUUAUCGUCUAACAAAGUUCGAGUAUGACUCUGUCGUACGAAGGGAUCAAACAGGGUCUCGAUAGUGGCCCUGGCGGAUGGUCGCCGCCUUUCUGUGACCUAGCAAUCCCCGUUUUUUCUCUUGAGAUUAUCCAGAAACAAAAAAACUAAUAUUCAAGCAGUGAUGGAGUCGAUCGAUUACGGCAUUUUUAACUCUUGUCAUUCAGAACGUUAUAUACUUUGCUCUUUUUCCAUCGACGGAGCUAGUGAGACCGUUCAGUCCAGAUUGUGUUCAUGGGUGUAAAAACUGAUAGACGCAGUUUGACUUGGGUGCUUAUUCCUCUUACUACUACAAUGGUAUUCACUUAAUUAGUGUGACACCUAUUUCGUCCGAUUUCGUAGUACAACAAGAUGUAUUCACCUUCUAACGAGGACGCAUUGAACAUUGUUAGUUCGAGCAUUGUGUUGUACGAGGGCUGCCUUCAACUGCAGGCAACAACAAAAAAAAAGGUCUGCCACACUCGUGAGGGACGUCUCCUCGAUCCUUCGUAUUCUCUGGCGGUUUGACACGCCGGGCAAAUCGGACUCGUUCGCCCUUCCUUCGUCCGCUCGUUGGAUGGCUCGGUAAACUGGCCCAUUCCAACAGUGUGCACCAAUUUUCGAAAGCCAGCACACGCUACUCCACUCUUCGCUCCCCGUGAAUGAUUCUCUCGUCUUGUUGGGGUCGACAGUUUCGCACUUUAUUCGUGGAUCUGGCCUUCGUCUUCGUUACCAUCCUCUCACUCGCCGACCCAGUACGGCCUUGAUAUGUCUGACGGAAUCACCAGUCUUGUCGCGUCCAUUCUCCAGAUGAGAGCAAGUGACGCAUGAAUUUAUGUAUGUGCGAGUGUUUUAGUAGACACAGGGACCAGCCUGUCAAUUUGAGGGUAACGAACAAACAUACAAAAUCAGAUUACAUUGCAAGGUAAAGAACGGUUCAAAUGCUUUAUCUUGUUUCAUGUAGAAUUUCCUUUCAGGCGCUACCCUGUUGGAAUCUGUUUCGGUUCAAGUACUAUAUCAUGGAUUGAUCAGACUAACAUUCUAUCUAUGGAUCUGCGAGCAAACAAAAACGUGGUGCUCAUUUCGUGAUCGAUUAAAUAUAGGCAAGUUAUAUGUGGCGUAAGAAACAUUGAUGGAUGCACAUAACAGCAUUAUACAUGGAAGGAAAAGUAGAAUCGAGGUUCAGGAUCGGUGACAAAUUUCGUGACUUGUAAAGGGUACAAAGGAUUCGUUGAGCUAUGUCUAUUCUCAUGCUCAUUCUUCUGAAACGAGUUGAGUUUGCUUACGUACUUAUACUUUCUGUUUCAGUAAUGGCUUGCACUAUUGUAAUUCUUUUCGCCGGGAUGGGAUUAAUUGAUGCUAAUUAAGAUGCGUCAGGUUUAUGUUGAAGAGAAACUAUAACUAUAAAAUAAAGGAAAUCAAGUUGAGGAGAAUACCCCAUUACCCAUUUCUCCAACCAAGCUACAUUGUGCUUUAGGGACCUACCAUUGAGUGUCUAUAUCUUGAAAUCAGAAUUUUUA